RNAcentral lists this unclassified non-coding RNA (231 nucleotides) under uncultured fungus. RNAcentral describes it as "sequence contains ITS1, 5.8S rRNA gene". The record is from RNAcentral. Lineage: Eukaryota; Fungi.
UCACGUUUUCUAAACGUUUCCCUAUCAACCAAACGCGAACUCUCGGUGGUUUUCACUAUUCAUUUAGUGAAUUCGUGACCAUUUCUCUUGAUUACUCUUCAUUGAGGAAAGAGAGAAAGAACACCUUUUGAUUAACCAUCAAAAACAAACCUUUGAAUAAUUAAACUGAACUAUUAUUCCCUAACGCUUUCAUUAGUGUUAUUGAAUAAAACAAUACGAAAAAACUUAGAA